CCGGACCGGCGCACGGGUGAGUAACGCGUAUGCAACUUACCUAUCAGAGGGGGAUAACCCGGCGAAAGUCGGACUAAUACCGCAUGAAGCAGGGGCCCCGCAUGGGGAUAUUUGCUAAAGAUUCAUCGCUGAUAGAUAGGCAUGCGUUCCAUUAGGCAGUUGGCGGGGUAACGGCCCACCAAACCGACGAUGGAUAGGGGUUCUGAGAGGAAGGUCCCCCACAUUGGUACUGAGACACGGUCCAA
Molecule: ribosomal RNA, 245 nt
Filed under: uncultured bacterium
Lineage: Bacteria
Description: partial 16S ribosomal RNA
Rfam family: Bacterial small subunit ribosomal RNA
Source: RNAcentral